Molecule: ribosomal RNA, 253 nt
Filed under: uncultured bacterium
Lineage: Bacteria
Description: partial 16S ribosomal RNA
Rfam family: Bacterial small subunit ribosomal RNA
Source: RNAcentral
UACAGAGGUCCCGAGCGUUGUUCGGACUCAUUGGGCGUAAAGGGUGCGUAGGCGGCGAGGUAAGUCUGAUGUGAAAUCCCGGGGCUCAACCCCGGAACUGCAUUGGAUACUGCCUUGCUUGAGUACUGGAGAGGGAACUGGAAUUUACGGUGUAGCAGUGAAAUGCGUAGAGAUCGUAAGGAAGGCCAGUGGCGAAGGCGAGUUCCUGGACAGUUACUGACGCUGAGGCACGAAGGCCAGGGGAGCAAACGGG